ACUAUUUUGGCAGAUAAGUGCGUUGGAUUUAGAAUCUAUUAAUGUAAAUAAAUUUUACAGGUAGUA
Molecule: transfer RNA, 66 nt
Filed under: Caetetermes taquarussu
Lineage: Eukaryota; Metazoa; Arthropoda; Insecta; Blattodea; Termitidae
Description: tRNA-Leu
Rfam family: tRNA
About the family: Transfer RNA (tRNA) molecules are approximately 80 nucleotides in length.
Source: RNAcentral